GAAAUUCAGGACCAUUCUGGGACUCGCAAGACUAUAAACUCGGAGCUGUGGUACGCAUGUGCUGGUCCACUUGUUUCUUUGCCUCAGGUUGGAAGUCUUGUGUAUUAUUUUCCUCAAGGACACAGCGAGCAGGUGGCAGUUUCCACUAAAAGAACAGCAACAUCACAAAUUCCUAACUACCCAAAUCUCCCUUCCCAGUUGCUUUGCCAAGUUCACAAUGUUACCCUACAUGCAG
Molecule: unclassified non-coding RNA, 235 nt
Filed under: Hevea brasiliensis (rubber tree)
Lineage: Eukaryota; Viridiplantae; Streptophyta; Magnoliopsida; Malpighiales; Euphorbiaceae
Source: RNAcentral